This 305-nucleotide ribosomal RNA is filed under the name uncultured bacterium. RNAcentral describes it as "bacterial SSU rRNA". It matches the Rfam family "Bacterial small subunit ribosomal RNA", at positions 335 to 658 of the family's 1533-position model. The record is from RNAcentral.
AUCCUACGGGACGCAGCAGUGGGGAAUAUUGCACAAUGGGGGAAACCCUGAUGCAGCGACGCCGCGUGGGCGACGAAGCGCUCCGGCGCGUAAAGCCCUGUCAGCAGGGAAGAACAAAGACAGUACCUGACCAAGAAGCCCCGGCUAACUACGUGCCAGCAGCCGCGGUAAUACGUAGGUGGCGAGCGUUAUCCGGAAUGAUUGGGCGUAAAGGGUGCGUAGGCGGCCUGCUAAGUCUGGAGUGAAAGGUACCGGCUCAACCGGUACAGGCUCUGGAAACUGGCGGGCUAGAGAGCAGGAGAGGG